RNAcentral lists this ribosomal RNA (253 nucleotides) under uncultured bacterium. Its description in RNAcentral is "partial 16S ribosomal RNA". It matches the Rfam family "Bacterial small subunit ribosomal RNA", at positions 524 to 776 of the family's 1533-position model. The record is from RNAcentral.
GACAGAGGGUGCAAACGUUGUUCGGAUUUACUGGGCGUAAAGCGUGUGUAGGCGGCUUCGCAAGUUGGAUGUGAAAUCCCACGGCUCAACCGUGGACGUGCAUCCAAAACUGCGUCGCUGGAGUCUCGGAGAGGAAGGUGGAAUGCUUGGUGUAGAGGUGAAAUUCGUAGAUAUCAAGCAGAACACCUGCGGCGAAGGCGGCCUUCUGGACGAUGACUGACGCUGAGACACGAAAGCGUGGGGAGCAAACGGG